CCAGUUUGUCAUAUCUAAGAAAAAUACACAUCCUGCUUGGCUGAGUUGAAAAUUUAGCAGUCUUUGUAGUUCCGUUAUUAAAACAUCCCUAUCUGUCGUUCCUAAAGCAUUAAAUCUUGAUAAUAAGUCUUGAUCUAAUUCACUGUCAACGUCCAUAACGGUAGAAUUGAUAUAAACAAUAUGAAUUUUACCAAAUUCAUCAAAAUAUGAAUUCCAAAAUAUAUAUAUUGUAGAAUGUCAACGAGAAGUGCUAAGUCACAGAAUUCCUUCACAAGAGUUAUCGAAUUCCUUAGUUUUUCCCACAUUCGUUCAGUUCACUUCACCGCAAAUAUCACAAAUUCCUGUCGGUAAGGACAAAUCCUUUAAAGUGAAAGAACUGCAUAGUAAUAAUGACGUCAUUUAUUUUACACACGCGCGGACGUCACGUAGAGUUCGGUCACUGAGCUAUACUAUAUCACUAUAUUACUGGAAGAAGUGCUGAGAUUCU
This is a non-coding RNA of Paramuricea clavata, 487 nucleotides long. The record is from the annotation of a GenBank genome assembly. NCBI's taxonomy places the organism in Eukaryota, Metazoa, Cnidaria, Anthozoa, Malacalcyonacea, Plexauridae.